CUCCUUCUGAGGCCACCUUGU
This 21-nucleotide non-coding RNA is filed under the name Arabidopsis thaliana (thale cress). Lineage: Eukaryota; Viridiplantae; Streptophyta; Magnoliopsida; Brassicales; Brassicaceae. The record is from RNAcentral.